RNAcentral lists this ribosomal RNA (650 nucleotides) under uncultured bacterium. RNAcentral describes it as "bacterial SSU rRNA". It matches the Rfam family "Bacterial small subunit ribosomal RNA", at positions 140 to 806 of the family's 1533-position model. The record is from RNAcentral.
GGGACAACAGUUGGAAACGACUGCUAAUACCGCAUAAGCCCACGGAUCCGCAUGGAUCUGCGGGAAAAGGAUUUAUUCGCUCUAGGAUGGACUCGCGUCCAAUUAGCUAGUUGGUGAGGUAACGGCCCACCAAGGCGACGAUUGGUAGCCGGACUGAGAGGUUGAACGGCCACAUUGGGACUGAGACACGGCCCAGACUCCUACGGGAGGCAGCAGUGGGGGAUAUUGCACAAUGGGGGAAACCCUGAUGCAGCGACGCCGCGUGGAGGAAGAAGGUUUUCGGAUUGUAAACUCCUGUCGUUAGGGACGAUAAUGACGGUACCUAACAAGAAAGCACCGGCUAACUACGUGCCAGCAGCCGCGGUAAAACGUAGGGUGCAAGCGUUGUCCGGAAUUACUGGGUGUAAAGGGAGCGCAGGCGGACCGGCAAGUUGGAAGUGAAAACUAUGGGCUCAACCCAUAAAUUGCUUUCAAAACUGCUGGCCUUGAGUAGUGCAGAGGUAGGUGGAAUUCCCGGUGUAGCGGUGGAAUGCGUAGAUAUCGGGAGGAACACCAGUGGCGAAGGCGACCUACUGGGCACCAACUGACGCUGAGGCUCGAAAGCAUGGGUAGCAAACAGGAUUAGAUACCCUGGUAGUCCAUGCCGUAAA